This 494-nucleotide ribosomal RNA is filed under the name uncultured bacterium. RNAcentral's name for it is "partial 16S ribosomal RNA". It matches the Rfam family "Bacterial small subunit ribosomal RNA", at positions 29 to 523 of the family's 1533-position model. The record is from RNAcentral.
AUUGAACGCUGGCGGCAUGCCUUACACAUGCAAGUCGAACGGUAGAGGGGCAACCCUCGAGAGUGGCGAACGGGUGAGUAAUGCAUCGGAACGUGCCCAGUAGUGGGGGAUAGCCCGACGAAAGCAGGAUUAAUACCGCAUACGACCCACGGGUGAAAGGGGGGGAUCGCAAGACCUCUCGCGAUUCGAGCGGCCGAUGUCAGAUUAGGUAGUUGGUGGGGUAAAAGCCUACCCAGCCGACGAUCUGUAGCUGGUCUGAGAGGACGACCAGCCACACUGGGACUGAGACACGGCCCAGACUCCUACGGGAGGCAGCAGUGGGGAAUUUUGGACAAUGGACGAAAGUCUGAUCCAGCCAUGCCGCGUGCAGGAAGAAGGCCUUCGGGUUGUAAACUGCUUUUGUCAGGGAAGAAAUCCCCUGGGUUAAUACCUCGGGGGGAUGACGGUACCUGAAGAAUAGGCACCGGCUAACUACGUGCCAGCCGCCGCUGUAA